Molecule: long non-coding RNA, 594 nt
Organism: Mauremys reevesii (Reeves's turtle)
Lineage: Eukaryota; Metazoa; Chordata; Testudines; Geoemydidae
Exons: 3
Source: RefSeq, a predicted model, not a curated record
GCCGGCUUCCGGGGCAGAGCGGCCUCCCCGCCCCGCCCCGCCCUCUGCGCAGGCUGCCGGGCCGGGCCUCCCCUGCGGCUCCGGGAGACAGCGUGUGUCAGGCCCUCUGCGGACUAGGCUGCCGCGUGGCUCAUAUAUCCUCUAAGCACAACAGGUGAAGAAAACUGACAGAGUGUAGAUUUGGCUUGUUGAAGCAGAAGGCAACGGUUUCACGAGGGUCUCUUAGGAAGACACCAAACUCUCUGACCCUAAACUCAUGAAGCAUUUGUCCAAAAUAACAUCAAGCUGCUUUCUGGGGUGAAGCUGCGGCUCUGGUCCUACUUCAGUAGGCUCAGUGCUUCAGAAUGCAAAAGUGGAAAAAUGGAAAUUUCGCUGUACUUUUGUCUCAGUGUUAAGGUUAACACUGUCACCUGCUAUGGUACUUCGAUGUCUACUGAACUGUUCCUGACAAAUAUCUUACAAAGGCAUCAUACAACAGACGUGUGAAAAGUAAUGUAAUCUGAGCCUAACUUGGAAAUAAGCAGGAAUCUGAAGUGACUGUUGAUCAGUUUUUAUUUUGUCUUACUUUACAAAACUUGUAUCUUAGAAAAUGGC